RNAcentral lists this unclassified non-coding RNA (400 nucleotides) under soil metagenome. RNAcentral's name for it is "partial contains 5.8S ribosomal RNA, internal transcribed spacer 2, and large subunit ribosomal RNA". The stretch from base 1 to 122 matches the Rfam family "5.8S ribosomal RNA", at positions 35 to 154 of the family's 154-position model. The record is from RNAcentral.
GAUGAAGAACGUAGUGAAAUGCGAUACUUGGUGUGAAUUGCAGAAUCCCGUGAACCAUCGAGUCUUUGAACGCAAGUUGCGCCUCAAGCCAUUAGGUUGAGGGCACGUCUGCCUGGGCGUCACAUAUCGUUGCCUGAUGCCAGUUUCCUCGUGAUGGGUGACUGUGCAGGGCGAAUGAUGGCUUCCCGUGAGCAUUGUUGCCUCAUGGUUGGUUGAAAAUUGAGUCCUUGGUAGGGAGCGCCGUGAUAGAUGGUGGUUGAGUGACGAACGAGACCCAAUCAUGUGAGACCCCUACCGAAUUUGGCCUUCAUGACCCACAUGCGUCUUUGGAACGCUCAUGACGAGACCUCAGGUCAGGCGGGGCUACCCGCGGAGUUUAAGCAUAUCAAUAAGCGGAGGA